UUUGUUGUCAUGGUAGUUAAUCAGUAUGAGACAGUAACAAAUUAAUAUGGUUCACUUGCAAAAGGAAUAGAAGCACUUCAGCAUAGGAGAUCUCAAUCCCUCUUUUAGUAUAUUCUUGCUCAUGUGUGCUGUGACCAAGCUUAUACCUCAAGUAACUAGAGGAAAAAAAUGCAGGAAAAUCUAAAAAGCACUUGGAUCCAGAGAAUCCUGAAGAAGGGCAAGGAAUUGAACGUCUUGGUGAGUGUAGGAUCUACUUGAUCUAAGCUCAAGUACUCCUAAAAGCAACUUCAAGGAAACAGUACUGAUUUCUUUACCUUUGUAUAGGUCAUAAUUCAAGCAAUAUUGGAGCUCAAGGACACAAACCAUUCCCCUCAAAAUAUGGCAGAUGCCUGAGGUUCAUCAAGCUUCUUGUAUCCCAAGUACUGCUGGUUAUCAUAUCAGUAAUGCCAGGUAUAACACCAUAUUAAUCAUCAUCCCAAGUUUCUCCACUAUUAAUUUCCAAAACAUUAGAGGUUCAAUGUACAUUCUUGUUUCUUUGUGGAUACAUGUUUAGGUUCAAGCCAGAUAAGAAAGCUAAAAGAGAAAAAAGAGAUGCAUGUAUGGUCUCUUCAGAUCCUGAACAAACUACUUGAACGUGCUUAUGAUGAGGCCCCACGUCAUUAUAGUUAUUCAGAGUACAGAUUCUUCCAGAGGGAAGGAGGUAACCUAUAUGUCAACCCUGUUCAUUACAAAUAAACUUCUUGGUAUAUAUAUAGAAAGAUGUGGAGACAAUGUAACCAACAACUUUCUCCAGUAUCUUUAACUGAUAUUAAGGAGAGGCAGAUCUGUUGCAGAGUAAUCACAACUCAAAUUCUUGAAAUUUUAACCACUGUUAUUAGAUGAUUGGUUAAUUGGGCUUUCUCUUGUAGUUGAAGAGUGUGUUUUCUUAUCUUUGUAGCUUGGGAGACACCAAUACUAGCUGCAUCGUGGAAAUGGUAGAGAAAAUCCUGCAACUGUUUUCUAUGGCCAUUUAUGACACCGAUGGCCAAAAUAUGAACAUAGUGCUGAAGGCAGUAGAGAAUAGGCGAUCACAUAUAUAUGACUUCUUACUCAACAGUAAUCUUCCUCAUAGAGAAAUUGCAUUUCACGCUGUUGAUGAACAGGGGAAUAGUGCAUUGCAUCUAGCUGGAAAGCUACCGGGUUACCGCCACUUCCAACAUAUCCCCACCAGCAUGUUGCACAUGCAGUGGGAAGUUAAGUGGUACCAGGUAUGCAAAACUCAAGCUAAGCUUUAUAUUAGCUUAUGAGAAAUGGUUCAAACCGAUGAAUAAUAACUUAAAAGUAUGCACUUGGUUCAAUGCAGUAUGUGCAGAAUUCCUUGCUACCAGAUUUUGUUGUUAAAAAUAAUCGUACAGGAAAUUCCCCAGAUAAGAUCUUCCAAGCAGAACAUCGGGAACUUGAAGACGAAAGCAAACAAUGGCUAAAUAGCACAUCCAAUUCCUGCUCUUUCAUUGCAGCGCUUAUCGCAACUGUUGCCUUUGCCUCAACAGCCUCCGUACCUGGAGGGCUGCAAUGGCUAAAUAGCACCUCCAAUUCCUGCUCUUUUAUUGCAGCACUUAUCGCAACUGUUGCCUUUGCCUCAUCAGCCGGGGUAAAGCAAGACACUGGGAGUAUUUUUGGAAUAGCACCGCUAGUUGCUCUUUUCUGUUCAGUGAUCUCCUUGCUAAUAUUCUGCGCCAUUUUCAUCUCCAAGGACGAAGACAAAGAUUUUACUACAAACUUGCCGAGGAAAUUUUUAUUUGGUUUAACAUCUCUCUUUAUAUCCAUAGCAGCCAUGUUGACCUGUUUCUGCUCGGGAAACUUCUUGAUGCUUAAGGGUCAAUUAAAAUUUGCUGCAAUUCUGUUAUACGCACUCACCGGUGUGGUAAUGGCGUACUUUGUUCUCAAGCACUUUCCAUUAUUUAUUGGCCUUCUGAAGGCUACAUUUCGUAAGGUGCCUGAGCGUAUAUACAAGGAGUAUUUGUGGAUUCCAUUCGUCUUGUAACGACCCAUUUUAAAGUAUGUUCCCCGAUUUUAUUUUGGUUAUUUUAAGUAUAUAAGAAUAAUGAACUUUUUGUGUUCUACUCCUAUCACGAACCUAAUGGGGAUUUCUUUUUUGAAAUCUGAAAAAGGAAAAGUUUUUCUUUUUAAAAAUUUUAAAAAAGAAAAUGAUAAUGGGAAAGAAAUGGACCGGACUUUCUUCUACUAGAGAAAAGAGAAUAGGACGAUUCUUUAUAAUCCUUCAAAAAAAAUCUUAAAAUAUAAAGUUAAAUAUACCUCCGUAUUUUUUAUUUUAAAGUGAAACAUAUUCUUACUAUGUCUUUUCUCUAUUUUAUCUUUUCUCCAUCUUUUCUUUUUCUUUUAUUAUUAUUAUUAUUAUCAAAUAAGAAAAAUAUUAAUACUAAUACAUAUAAAUAAUAUAAUGAUUAGUCAUAAAUUAUUUUUGAUAAUUAAAAAAUAAUUUUAUUACAUAUUUUUUAUUAUAAAAUAUUACAACAAUUUUUUAUAUUUUUAUUAAAUAGACUUCAAAAUUUUUGAAUAGUUUAACUUUAUAAUAUAACAAUAAUAAAUUAUUAUAAUAAAAAAUAUAUUUUUAUAAUUGCUCAAAAAUGAAAUAAAGGGAUCUUGUAAUAUAUUAUACUUUUACUAUAUUUAUAUUGUAAGUUCAAUGUAUAAGUAUUGUAACUACAAUUAACGUCUUUUUCUUUUUGUCUUAUUCUUCUUCUUAUUAUUAUUGUUAUUACUGUCAAUAAUCUAUCAAAUAAAAAUAAUAUUAAUAAUGAUACAUAUAAAUAAUAUAAUAAUUAAUUAUAAAUUAUUAUUUCAUUAGUUAUUAUUUUAAAAAUAUUAUAAAUAACUCACCCAAAAUAAUAAUAAUAAUUUUAAGAGAAUGGAAACAAAAAGAUCAAUAAAACCAGAGCAGCAAGUAGAAGCAGAAAAACUUAGAAAAAGAUUCUUCAUUCACCUACAAAAGUGCAACUUAAUGGAGCAUUGAAUUGGAAACGUGGCGUAUCUACCUCCCUCUACUCUCUCUCCUACAACUAAGAACCUUAAGUAAACAAAUCCAUGUCAUUAUUUUUAUCAUAAUAAUAAUAAUAAUAUGGAUUUGUUUAUAAGAGUGAUGGAGACAAUGCCUUCUUUUUAUUUUCUCUUUGACUUUGAGUCAUUCGAAGGGGAAAAAAAUGUCAUUUUCCCAUAAUUAGUGUUUGUUCAAUAAUUUUUUUUUCCUUUUUAUUUUUAAAUAUAGAACAAUAGAAAAAAUAUUUAUUGUCAAUUUAGAUACGCUUACUAUUUUUUUGUUUUAAAAAUAAAAUAUUUUGUACAAAAAAUAUGAUUUACUUUAUGCUUUCAAAAAUCUCUUUAAUUUUUUUUAAAAAAAUUUGAGAUAAUAAGAACAAUGCCUCAAGUUUUUUUUUUUUUUUUUUUUUUAACUAAAAAAAAUCAUUAUUUAAAAAAAAAAUCAUUAUUAUUAUUUUUUAAUAUGAACCUCUAUCUUGUAUAAAAGUUAUUACUAUUUUAUGGUUUUAUAAACAAAAAAUAAGAUUUAUACCUAAUAGGACUGCUUAUAAUUUAAUUUUCUUACUUAACUUUUCUAUAAAUAAUCUAAUAAUGAGGGAAAUUUCUAGGUUGUGCUUUCAUCCUACUUUUCCCUCUUUAUUUUCUUUCUAACAAACUUUAGACACUCAAAUAUAGCCUAGGAGAGUACCUUAAAAACAAAAUGAAUAAAAGUGCCAUCACAUGAUUAAUCACACAACCAGCAGCCUCAAAUGCAAAGCCAGCCUUUGUUCCUGUCUUUUCCUCCUUUAGUUGUUACUAGUUAUGAUCAUAAGUAGAAAUACUCUAACAUCCCUAGCUUCAAUUUAGGGAUAUUUGUGUAUUUUAAAUUUUUUAAAAUACAUACAUUGAAUAUAGAGAUAUUUAUGUAUUUUAAAAAUUAAAAUAAAAAAGAGAGAAAGAAAAUAAGUGAGAUAUCUUUUGUCCCUUUAACCGCCCACUAUUUUUAUGUUGUUAUGGUUUCUUGAUAUUAUCAAAAAUUAAAAAGACAAAAUAGAGAGAGAUAUAGAACUUUGAUUGGAAGGGUAAAAAGAAAAAAUGAAAAUUUUAGUAUUUGCUUUAUUUUAUAAUUUAAAGAUAUGCAUUAAUAUUUUUUUUAAGAAUUUGAGUAACUUCUUCAAGGUAAGGGUUAAUAAUGCAAUGAGUUAAUAUUUAUACCUCUUUAUUUGUUUUUAUCUAUUUAUUAAAAUAUCAAAAUAUUUAAAUUUCAUAAAGUGGAUCAAGUAAUAUUUUUCUAAAAUAUACUAUAAUUAAUUUGUUCUUUUGUUUAUAAAAUAAAUCAAGAAUAUCAUAUGAUUUGUUUGAUUAUUAUGCCAGUUAUUUUAACUUCUUCGAGGUAAAGGUUAAUAGAGUAGUGAGUUAGUUUAUAUCACUUUAUUUGUUUUUAACUAUUUAUUAAAAUAUCAAAAUAUUUAAAUUCAUAAAGUGGAUCAAGUAAUAUUUUUUUCAAAUUUGCUUUGAUUUGUUCCUUUUUUUAUAAAAUAAAUUAUGAAUACAAUAUGAUUUGUUUGAUUAUUAUGCAAUUGAAUUUUACCUUUCCAAUUAAUUAAAAGUAAUUUUGGAAAUUCAGGUUAUCAAUAGCCCUAGUCAAUAGAGAUAAAUUGUUGACCUUUAUUGUCCUUGGUGGGAUAGUGAUGUAAUGUAGCCUUAGACAGUAAGGGUAUUAUUAUUCCCCUUUGGUAUACCAUUGGUCGGAAACCGUUCCGUCCUCUAGUAAGAGGAACAAUUUGAGACUAACCACCUAAUACAAGUUCCACUAUUUGGACCUAGUGUUAUUGUAAGUAUAUUAAAGUAAAAUGUUUAAAUGUGAAAUUCUUUUGAAUAUGAAUUGAUUAUGUUAAGUAUAUUAUAUUGUUUUAUCUUUAAAAUUAAAAGUGUUGAAAUUUUUGAAGAAAUUAUAUUUAAUUAUUGAAUUAAAUGAGUUUACCUAUUUUAAUAAAAAAAAAUGAUAUCUCCUAGGAUUUAAUUUUGUACUAUACUUUGUCCUUCUUAUUGGCCUAUUUUUUCUUAUUGAGCUAUCGAACCCUUUCUCUAUUAUUCCCCUUUUAAAGUACAGAUAAACUAUGGGGCUACUUUAGCGUUGCAAGUGAGUGUUGUUGUUCAAUUAUGUCUUCCUGUUGACUUGUAACUUCAAUUUGUCAUGAGUUGGAAUACAUUGGAACUAGUUGAUGAGGACACAACUAACAAAUGGAAUGCAAAUUCUAUUCAAGUUCUAGUUGGUUCGGUUACAAGGGCUUGAGUUAUAAAGUUCAAGGAAACUCUCAAUGGACUAACUCAAAAUAUUUGGGUUAAGGUGAAUUCGUGGAGGCCUAAGGAAGAUGUUCCACGUUUUCCACAUGGAUGGAUUUCCAUGAUUCAAGCUUUUGAAUAAUCUAGAAGAAUUCCUCAAAGAGAACAACUCACAAAUUGUGUGGAUUGAGUGGAGUUUUCUAAAUUGGUGAUUACCCAAAUUUGACUUAUCAAGGAGAAUGGCUGACUCAAUUUAAAGCCAUCCUUUUAAGAUGACUAAAUUACCUUUCUUAUUUAUUAUUAUAUUUUAUUGUUGAGUUGUAUGGUUUGCAUGCCAAUUUAGAUACUUUCCUAUUAGCCUUUUAAUUUUUGGAAUUGUAUGGGAAAGGAAGGAAUUCAAAAUUCCCUUGUUACUUUUUUAUUUCGGCGUAGGCAUGAUUUUAGGAAAUAUUGGAUUCACUUUUCAGAAUUCAACUUAGGAUAUUUUAGUCUCCCUUUUCUAGCUAUUUAUGAAUACUAGGCCCCAUAUUUGGGGAUUUUCUAGUUGCCAAAUUCGUGGACCUCUUUGUAUUUAAAUAACCAUUAGCUUAUUGAAAAAAAAAACAUUCAGAUUUCGUUCAUAAGUUUGGAGAGAAAAUUCUCUUUGGUUCUUUUAGAACUCUUUGAACUUAUCGGAAAAUUUUUCAUGGUGUUCUCAUUUGACUUAUCAAUCAAUCCUUCCAUAAUUGAUUGUGGCGUCUUCAUUAUACCAAUGUUCUUACUUCCAUAUUAGCAAUGGGUCAUAGUUUUAUAUAAAUUUGUUUCUAGACGAUCUUGAAGUCAUUCUUGAUCCACAAGUUUCUCUGUUUCUUGAUGUGGAUCGUAUCAGUUGGUAUCAGAGGUACAAGUCCCAAACACUAGUUAUAGGUUUGACUAUUUUUAUUUUUUUUUGAAAAAAAAAACGAAAUUGAAAAAAAAAAAGUGAUAUUGUGAUUCAAUUCCUGUAAUUCUUGUUUCAAUUUUAAAUCUUUGUGUUCCUUUCGAUUCCACACAACCAAAUUUAUUGCUCCAAAACAAACCCUUAAAUCCAUUACCCAACCUUGCUUUUCUAAGCCCUUAACUAUGAAUUUCUCUUGAUGAGUUCUUGGUGAAUUGUUGCUGAAAAUUGUAAUAUUUGUUUGAUAAGAACCUAUAGAGGAUUAUUAUAAGUGGAAAAAAGCAAGAGUAGUAAGCAUAUAAGAGAGUAAAAGUCAAUAUGAUUUUGUGUGAAAACACAAGUGAAAGUUGAGUGAAUCAUUCUUUGAGUGAAACAUGUGAGGGAGUGUGCGGUUUUUUUUUUUUUUUUUUUGUAACUUUGUUUUGCAGCAAACAUGUCAGACAAUAAGGACAAAAAUACUUUUAGGAAUGCAUUGGAAGAGGUUGAUUUGAAGUUUCUUAUAGAAGCUUUAAUAGGUAAGAUGAGGAGAGUGUUGAGAGCGGAGAUGGAGUAGGUUCAUGAACAGAUAGAUCGGGUAGAGAAUGCACAUGUGUAGUAGCUGCAAAAUGCUCCUAAUGUGCGUAGGAGAGAGAGAAAGAGAGAGUUCAACCUAGGGAAGUGAGAGUUGAAGAUGAAGAGUAUUGUGAGGACGAUUUUGAUAAAGAAUAUGACUGGAUUCAAUUGUUGGCAAUAGGAGAUAUGAUGGGCAGUUUAGAGAGGCUAGGAAUCGAGAAGAUAAUAACUUAGGUAGUAUUAAGAUGAAGAUUUUGUCUUUUCAAGGCAAAAACUAUCUCGAAACUUACCUUGAGUGGGAGAAGAAGAUAGAAUUAGCAUUUGAUUGUCACAAUUAUUCUGAGCUUAAAAAGGGUAAAACUUGCAGCCAUUGAAUUUUCUAAUUAUGCGAUUAUUUGGUAGGAUCAACUAGUAUUAAGCAGGAGGAGAAAUAGAGAGUGUCCAAUAGAAACAUGGGAGGAGAUGAAAACUAUGAAGAGAAGAUGGUUUGUUCCAAGCCAUUACUACCAUGAGUUGUACCAAAAAUUGCAAAGUCUUACACAAGGUAAUCGAAGUGUGGAGUAUUAUUACAAGGAGAUGGAAAUCACUAUGAUCCAAGUGAAUGUGGAAUAGGACCGAGAGGCUACUAUGGCUAGGUUCUUGGUUGGUUUGAACCAAANAAAUUGUUAAUUCNNNNNNNNNNNNNNNNNNNNNNNNNNNNNNNNNNNNNNNNNNNNNNNNNNNNNNNNNNNNNNNNNNNNNNNNNNNNNNNNNNNNNNNNNNNNNNNNNNNNAUAAUGAUUUAGAAAUUAGGGCUGUCAACAAUUAAACAUCCCCAACCUUACUAGUUGCAAUAGCUCAAUGAUAGUGGUGAGGUGAAGUUACUAAACAAGUGUUAGUAUCAUUCCGCAUCGGAAAAUAUGAAGAUGAAGUUUUGUGUGAUGUAGUUCCAAUGCAAGCUAGAUGUUUGUUACUAGGCUAACCAUGUCAAUUUGAUCGACAUGUUAAGCACGAUGGUUUUACCAACAAAAACUUGUUUGUGCUUAAUCAAAGGACAAUCACUCUAGUCCCUUUGUCACCAAAGCAAAUCUAUGAAGAUCAAGUGAUGUUACAAAAAAAGAGUGAUCUAAAGAAAAAGAAAGAAAAAGAAAACAAGUGAAAAUCAAAAAGAAAAAAAAAGGCUGAGAAAAAUAAGAGAGAAAAAAAGAAAAUAGAUUCGACCAUUGAGAGAAAAUCAAAGAGAAAAACAAAUUUCUAUGCAAAAGCGAGUGAAAUAAAAAGAGUGAUGUUUUUAAAUCAGCCAAUUAUUGUACUUUUGUAAAAAAAAGGCAUACUUAAACAUUAACAAACUUGAUGCGUCUUUCCCUAGUUCAGUUGUUUCUCUUUUAUAGGAGUUUGAUGAUAUAUUUCUUAAGGAGGUUCCACAUGGUUUAGCUUAUGUUUGAGGAAUUGAACAUCAAAUUGAUUUCAUGCUCGAUGCUUCCAUUCCAAACCGACCAAGCUAUUAAAGUAAUCCCAAGGAAACAAAGGAGUUACAAAGACAGGUUAGUAAAUUGAUGGAAAAGGGGUACAUAAGGGAAAGUAUGAGUUUGUACAUCGUGCCGGUGAUUUUGGUUCCUAAGAAGGAUGAGACGUGGAGAAUUUGUGUUGAUUGUCGAGCAGUUAACAAUAUAAUGGUAAAGUAUCGUCAUCCUAUUCCUCGUUUAAAUGAUAUGUUAGAUGAAUUACAUGGUGCUUGGGUAUUUUCUAAUAUUGAUCUAAAGAGUUGGUAUCAUCAAAUAAGAAUGAAAGAGGGCGAUGAAUGGGAAAUUGCUUUUAAAAUGAAAUAUGGUUUAUAUGAGUGGUUAGUUAUGCCAUUUGGAUUAACUAAUGCAUCGAGUACUUUCAUGCAACUAAUGAACCAUGUCUUGCGUGCUUUCAUAGGCAAAUUUGUUGUUGUUUAUUUUGAUGAUAUUCUCAUUUAUAGCAAAAACUUGGAUGAUCAUGUUGUGCACUUAAAUUCAAUUCUGAAUGCACUUCGAAAAGAGAAGUUAUUUGCUAACUUGAAAAAGAGCACCUUUUGCAUCGAUAAACUUGUGUUUCUUGGUUUUGUUGUGAGUACACAAGGAAUACAAGUUGAUGAAGAGAAAAUAUGCACGAUUCAAGAAUGGCCAAGUCCCAUGAGUGUAAGUCAUGUUCAUAGUUUUCAUGGACUCACUAUUUUUUAUAGGAGGUUCAUGAAAGACUUUAAUAGCAUCACCGCACCACUUACCUGAGUCUUCAAGAAGAACGUUGGAUUCAAAUGGGGAGACGAACAAGAGAAAACGUUUCAAUUGAUCAAGGAAAAAUUAACUCAUGUUCCUUUACUUGCUUUGACUUAUUUUACUAAAACGUUUGAAAUUGAAUGUGAUGCUUCAAGUAUGGGUAUAAACGUAGUUCUUAUGUAAGGAGGAAGACCAAUUGCAUAUUUCAUCGAGAAGUUAAGCGGGGCAGUAUUAAACUACCCUACUUAUGAUAAAGAAUUGUAUGAAUUGGUUCGAGUAUUGGAAACAUGGCAACACUACCUUUGGCUUAAGAAGUUUGUGAUUCACACCGAUCAUGAGUCCUUGAAGCAUUUAAAACACCAACACAAAUUGAACAAGAGAUAUGCACAAUGGGUAGAAUUCAUUGGGACAUUUCCAUAUGUCAUCCAAUACAAGCAAGGUAAGGAAAACAUCGUUGUUGAUGCACUUUCUCGAAGGUACAUAUUAAUUUCUACUAUUGAUGCAAAAUUACUUAGUUUUGAGCACAUUAAAUAAUUGUAUCCUUUAGACCACGAUUUUUGUGAGGAGUUUUGAACUUAUGAGAAAAACAUAGUUGGUAAGUUCUUUAGGCACGAGGGUUUCUUAUUUCGGGAAAAUAAAUUGAGUGUGCCGAAUUGCUCUUUGUGUGAUUUGUUAGUAAGGGAACCUCAUGGUGGAGGGUUAAUAGGGCACUUUGGAUUUGCUAAGACUUUAGCCCUUUUGCAAGAACACUUCUAUUGGCCACACAUGAAAAAAGGUGUUGAGAGAAUUUGUGGUAGAUGUGUCACAUGUAGGCAAACAAAAUCUCGAGUGCAACCCCAUGGUUUAUACACGCCACUACCUAUUCCUAGUGAGCCUUGGAUUGAUAUUUCAAUGGACUUUGUGUUAGGUUUGCCUAGGUCUAAACAUGGUAGGGAUUCAAUUUUUUAUUUUUUUGUUGUGGAUAGAUUUUCUAAGAUGACACAUUUCAUUUCAUAUCACAAAAUCGAUGAUGCUUCAUAUGUUGUUGAUGUAUGCCUAGAACAAUAGUUUCAGCUAGAGAUGUUAAGUUCUUGAGUUACUUUUGGAAAACUUUGUGGUGUAAGUUAGGAACUACGUUGUUAUUUUCUACUACUUGUCACCCACAAAAUGAUAGUCAAACCGAAGUAAUGAAUAGGAUUUUGUCUAAUUUGUUGAGGGUUAUUAUUAAAAAGAACAUAAAAACUUGGGAAAAGUGUUUACCACACGUUGAGUUUGCUUAUAAAAUAAAUUAGGAAUAUCAUAUCAUUGUUUGAUUAUUAUGCAAGUAAUUUUAACUUUCAAAAGUAAAAGUUAAUAGUGUAGUGAGUUAGUUUACAUCUUUUUUUUUUUUCAUUUGUUUAUUAAAAUAUCAAAAUAUUUAAAUUCCAUAAAGUGAAUCAAGUAAUAUUUUCCUGAAUAUAUAAUGAUUUAUUCUUUCAAUUAUAAAAUAAAUUGUGAAUAUUAUAUGAUUUGUUUAAUUAUUAUGCAAGUGAAUUUUACCUUUUCAAUUAAUUAAAGCGAUUUUGGAAACUUGGGUUAUCGAUAGUUGUAGUCAAUAGGGAUAAAUUAUUGACCUUCAUUAUCCUUGGUAAGUUAGUGAUGCAGUGUAUCUCUAAUUGGAAACGAUACUAUCCACCAAUAAAUGGAAUAAUUUCAGACUAAUCGCCUAACGCAAGUUCCACUUACCACAAGUUCCACUAUUUGGGUAUAGUGUUAUUGUAAGUGGACUAGAAAAAAAUGUUUGUUUGUGAAAUUAUUUUGAAUAUAAACGGAUUAUCAUAUAUUAUGUUAUUUUAUCUUUAAAAUUAACAGUGUUGAAUUUUUCAAAGAAAUUAAAUUUAUUUAUUGAAUUAAAUGAUUUCACCUAUCAAUUAAUUUUAAAUAAAAAAAUGACAUCUCAUAGAAUUUAGUUUUAUACUAUAUUUCAUUAUUUUUAUUGAAUUAUUUUUUCUUAUUGAGCUGUCAAACUUAGCCUUCUCCAAGUGACAUCUGUUAUCUGAAAUUGGGAUAGGAAGGGUGUUUCUAUUAAAAAUUGUUUUAAAUUUGAUUAUUUAGAAUUCUUUACUUAACUCCAUUUCAAUUGUGAUUUCUAGAAUAUCAAAGAGUUUGAGAAUUUUAUUUAUUUAUUUAUUUUAAUUUUGGAUUGGUUAGUUAACGUCAUUCAUAUGUUGUGCUUUGGGAGUUAAUAUGUGAAAUGAUGAGAUGCCAUUGGCCUUAAGGUUCCGGGUGUUAAAAUACUACCUUAAAUAGAGGAAAUGGUGGAAGCUAAUGAAGCCGAAGGGAUUGACUCUUGAGGAUUUGGAGUUUCCGGCCACCGCUGGUGGGGGUGCUGAGCGCAAGUGUAGAUGAAAGACGGGGCUGCUUUAGCUUUGGAGGUGAGUGUUGUUAUUCAAUUAUGUCUUCAUGUUGCCUCGUAACUUCAAUUUGUCAUGAGUUGGAAUAUAGUGGAACUAGUUUCUGAUCAUAUAUAGAGCGUUGGAUCCUGCAGGUUUAGUGUGAGUGGUAGUAGCUCUUAUACUUCUAACAGAAGGGGCAAUGGCUUCUACAAGUGAUGCGGAUGCAUCUGAUCUGGAGAGCAUUAGGAGAAAGUUGAUCUAGAGAUUGGCCAGCAAUUGGGAAGAAGUUGUAAAGAUAUACGAGCAAGAUCCAAGAGCUCACAAGAUCAAGAUCGGCCCAUCAAAGAACACAGCAUUGCAUAUAGCAGUUUCAAGUGGGCGAGAAGACGUAGAAAAACUAGUGAAAUUGAUUGCUAAGAAUAGUAACCCCGUGGAUGUUCUAUCUAUAGAGAAUAGAGAUCGGAACAAUCCUCUCCAUCUGGCGGCCUCACUGGGAAGCAUUUCCAUUUUCAGAUGCAUCACUGGUGAGUAUAAAGAACUGUUGGGUUGCCGCAACCGAGUGAGUGAUACGCCCCUUUUAAGGGCAGUUCGCUAUGGCAGAAAAGAUGUUUUCCUCUCGUUGUAUGAUAUGUGCGACACCACCUCAGCCCAUGACUACUGUCAUGACAUGGAGGGUAAAAAGGUUCUCCAUCUUGCCAUUGAAGGAGGACACAUGGGUAAGAGUUCUUCAGUUUACAUGUUCUAUUUCUUAAUUAUAAUAUAAAUCAUAGGCAUGAAAGUAGUCAGUUGUAAUGAACCUCUGUUAGGUGCGUACGCCUCUUUGGUUGGGCGCCUUCACAGAAGACAUUAAAUUUGAUUAAUUCAUGGUUUUGGUGGACAGAUUUGGCGUUUCAAAUUAUUGGUAAGCAGGAAGAUCUCAUGGAUUCUGUUGACUGGCAUCAAAUCUCCCCUCUGCAUGUCCUAGCUGAGAAGCCUACUUGCAAUCAUAAAAACUUGGGACUGAAUUAAAUCAGCGCGCACAUCAUUUGUUAUCUUGUAUCUGAUAUCUCCAUCAAGGCCAUAAAUUUCCGAUAGUUUCCCUUGUUAAUCAAAUUGGAAGGUAUUUUUAUUUUAGAGCUCGUCCCAGGGACUUCCAAAGCAGAGAAGAACAUCUUUCAAGAGCUACAAAAGAUGAUUAAAUUACCAGGUGGGCCUGAAUCAUUUAGAAGAAUUUUUUUCUUUUUGUGGCCACUGAUCACUUUCUUGAUGCUGCAACCAUAAUUCAUUGUCAAGGUAGUUAAUUAAUAUGAGACCGUAACAAAUAUGGUCAUAAUUCAGCACAGGAGAAGUCAAUUGAUCCCUCUUUCGGUAUAUCCUUGCUCAUGUGUGCUGUGACCAAGCUAUACCCCAAGUAACUAGUGGGAAAAAAUGCAGGAAAAUCUAAAAAGCACUUGGAUCCAGAGAAUCCUGAAGAAGGGCA
This 12803-nucleotide long non-coding RNA is filed under the name Vitis vinifera (wine grape). Its description in RNAcentral is "long non-coding RNA (VVIN_LNC007297)". Lineage: Eukaryota; Viridiplantae; Streptophyta; Magnoliopsida; Vitales; Vitaceae. The record is from RNAcentral.